Molecule: long non-coding RNA, 1155 nt
Filed under: Piliocolobus tephrosceles (Ugandan red Colobus)
Lineage: Eukaryota; Metazoa; Chordata; Mammalia; Primates; Cercopithecidae
Description: lncRNA (ENSPTEG00000003509.1)
Source: RNAcentral
AUGUUAUCUAAUAUGUGUAUAACAAACAAUACAUCUAAUGCUAGUAGUGGUAAUGGUACUGGUACUGAUCCCGUAAAUAAUAAUUUAAUUAAAAAAUAUAAUAGUGAUUUGGGUAAAGGAUUACAUGUUGUUUAUGAACAAACAAUAAAAGGAAAUGUACCAAUUACAUAUAUGCUUAUGGGAUCAACCAAUAAUAAAUUAAAUUAUACAAUAUUAGCAAUAGGAUGUAAAGAUGGAGAAGUUUACAUUUAUAAAUGUUUUAAAACAUCUUUUGAAGAAAUAACAUCAACAAGUAUUACAACAGUUAAUGAUCAUACUGUUGACAAUGAUAGAAAUAAUAUUAAUCUUAGUGAUAGUACUAUUACACAAAAUGAAAAAAAUUCAUUAGAAGAUAAUAGUAGUGCUAAUAUAAAAUUCUUAACAAAAUUAUGUGGACAUAAAAAAGCAAUUACUUGUUUAGUUUUUACAAUUAAUGAAAAUAAAAUUAUAUCAACAUCUAUUGAUAGAACUAUAAGAAUAUGGGAAGUAGCAACUGGAUGUUUACUAAAAGUUUUUUCAGAUUCUGCAGCUACACUAUCGGUAUUAUUAUUUCACAAUAAUGUAGAUAUAUUUUUAUGUUCUAAUUGUACAUGUUUAUUAAGAACAGUAAAUUUAAAUACAGGUCAAGCAUAUCAAAAAAUAAAAGUGGAAACAGAAAUAAGAACGUUAGAAAUUGAUUAUACAGGUUUAAAUAUAUUUGCAGGGACAAAAAAUGGUACAAUUUAUUUAUUGCAAUUUAUUUAUAACGAACGUGUUGAAAUAAAUUUCCGAUUCCAUUUUUCUCUAUCACCAAUUACAUGUAUAAAAUUUUGUAGCAAAAGUAAUAUUAAAGGGAAUCCAUAUAUUUUAGUAAAUUCGUGUGAUAAUUAUAUAGGUAUAGUAGAAUGUGCUUAUGGUACAAAUGGUAUUAUAACAACUUUAUCAGUAACCCACAGGAUAAGAAUUAGACAUUCUUUAUUACCCAUACGAAGUUGUUAUUCUAAUUUUGGUGGUGGAUGGUUACUUUCAGGCUCAGAGGAUGGGCACAUAUAUGUAUGUUCUCUUGACCCGUAUUCGAACUACAAACUUACUUCGUUGAAACACCAUAAGGUAUAUACACCCAUUCUCUCCAUAUAA